AAGAAGGUGGCAGAUUGGGUAUGUGUUUGGUUUGAAACCAAAUAAUGGGGGUUCAAUUCCCUCCUUUCUUG
RNAcentral lists this transfer RNA (71 nucleotides) under Synapturanus sp. MZUSP 159221. RNAcentral describes it as "tRNA-Ser". It matches the Rfam family "tRNA". From Rfam's summary of the family: Transfer RNA (tRNA) molecules are approximately 80 nucleotides in length. Their secondary structure includes four short double-helical elements and three loops (D, anti-codon, and T loops). Lineage: Eukaryota; Metazoa; Chordata; Amphibia; Anura; Microhylidae. The record is from RNAcentral.